Molecule: non-coding RNA, 130 nt
Filed under: Staphylococcus chromogenes
Lineage: Bacteria; Bacillati; Bacillota; Bacilli; Caryophanales; Staphylococcaceae
Description: FMN sequence
Rfam family: FMN riboswitch aptamer (RFN element)
About the family: The RFN element is a highly conserved domain that is found frequently in the 5'-untranslated regions of prokaryotic mRNAs that encode for flavin mononucleotide (FMN) biosynthesis and transport proteins. This element is a metabolite-dependent riboswitch that directly binds FMN in the absence of proteins. In Bacillus subtilis, the riboswitch most likely controls gene expression by causing premature transcription termination within the 5' untranslated region of the ribDEAHT operon and precluding access to the ribosome-binding site of ypaA mRNA.
Source: RNAcentral
CUAUUCUUUCGGGGCUGGGUGAAAUUCCCAACCGGCAGUAAAUAAAGCCUGCGACCCGUAGUUAUUAACUAUGGCUGAUCUAGUGAGAUUCUAGAGCCGACAGUGAAAGUCUGGAUGGGAGGAAGAAUAA